Molecule: long non-coding RNA, 255 nt
Filed under: Prunus dulcis (almond)
Lineage: Eukaryota; Viridiplantae; Streptophyta; Magnoliopsida; Rosales; Rosaceae
Description: sRNA ncRNA
Source: RNAcentral
AUGCAGGAAACGGAAAGUAAAUCAGAUGAUUCAAAACUUAAACAUCACCAGAACCACAACAUCAAUACCCAAAGUGGCCCUUACAUGGACAUUUUCUUUGGUAUGAGGACAGACAGAACAGACAGGAGCUUCAUGACCUUCAAAAGUAACCAGUCUUUGGCCACAAAACACAUCCCAAACCUUACACAUACAUUUAUGAAACCAACCUUGACGGUCUUGUCAUCAGCACAAGUUAUGACCAAAAGUUGGUCGUGA